UCUUCGGUAGUAUAGUUAUAAGUAUCCCCGCCUGUCACGCGGGAGAUCGGGAUUCAAUUCCCCGCCGGGGAG
Molecule: non-coding RNA, 72 nt
Organism: Octopus bimaculoides (California two-spot octopus)
Lineage: Eukaryota; Metazoa; Mollusca; Cephalopoda; Octopoda; Octopodidae
Source: Rfam